This 250-nucleotide long non-coding RNA is filed under the name Ananas comosus (pineapple). RNAcentral's name for it is "long non-coding RNA (ACOM_LNC014868)". Lineage: Eukaryota; Viridiplantae; Streptophyta; Magnoliopsida; Poales; Bromeliaceae. The record is from RNAcentral.
GAAAUGGAGAAAAAUGAGUUUUUAAGGAAUAAAAGAGAGUUGGUCGGUACAAGGGACAGUUUUGGCGGUGGAUUUCCCGCCAAAACCUAACCCUUCCGUCAACUCCCGUUCAGCUUUGUUAACCCAAACUGACGGAAGGGGCAACAAGAAUGCAAUAUUAAAGUUUAGGGGGGUAAAUGUCUAAUUUCAGAGUUUGGGGGGUAAAGUGAAACUCCGCCAAAAGUUCAGGGGGCAACAGUGCAAUUUACCC